RNAcentral lists this long non-coding RNA (1383 nucleotides) under Numida meleagris (helmeted guineafowl). RNAcentral's name for it is "lncRNA (ENSNMEG00000006602.1)". Lineage: Eukaryota; Metazoa; Chordata; Aves; Galliformes; Numididae. The record is from RNAcentral.
CUGGACUCAAUCAAACAAGCAACGGCUGAGUGGUGACGGGGCUAAACUCAUGUCCUCAGGUUCAACCCAAGUUUAAGAGAAGUGGAUUUGAGUGGCUGGUGCAUGCCUCAGCUGCACACUGCAGGUCUGAGCCAAAAGCCAGUGGUUGUGUGAUUCCAGGCUCAUGGAAAUCCGGGGUGAUUCCACCAGGUCCUGUUGCAUGUGAAGGAAGACAGAUGGUGCUGAGCUUGCCUUCUUCUGGAUUAUUUCCCCCUCCUCAUGCUGGAACAGAACCAAUGCAGAGUUACAGUUCCAGGAGUCAAAGACACAUAGGGCAGAGCCUUUUGACACACAUGUACUUGUCACAACUGGAGGCAUGCCAAGUCAAAAGCACAAGCUGCUGAAGCUUAACCUAAUCAUCAUAAUUCUGCAGCAGUUCAUAAACUAUCAAACACAUCCACAGGGGAGCUGAAAAGUACCAGGAAUUUAUGACUUGACACAUUUCUUCACAAGAACUUAUCUCCAACUUUGCUAAUCCAAAGGUCUGGAGAACACGCAGGUAAGCAGCUGAAGCGCAAACCUGCAGCUCUCUGGAAGUUUGUCUUUGGGAGGAUGCUCAGGAAGCAGCAUUAAUUGGUUGCUGUUUUGCCUCUUUUCUUUGUUGGAUUGCCUGUUAAUUCAAGGCCCAUGGCCAUGCCAUAACCACUUUUAUUGAGCUUUUUCAAGGAAGUCCCAGCGAAAACCUUUUUGUCAUUCAGGCAAUGAAGGAGACUGCCUCCCAGCACUGCAACUAGCAUCAGAGCACCCUGAAAUCUAUCAGUGCUAAUUAGGGCCUACUUAAAGGCUCCCAGGCUGCUGCUGCUGGUUUGAAAUGCAGAGUGGUGUGUGAAAGCCUUUCUGCUUGGCUCCUGACAGGAGCAAAAGCAAACAACAGGCCCUGCUGUGACCUCCAUUUACAAGACUCAUUUACUGCACCGAAGGCAUCAACUUCUUGGAAAUCAAACAGACAAAUUAGUUUUGAACCCCUAUGGGUUAAGAUGGACUUCUCACUGGGACACGCUCCUGCCUGGCUGGCUAAAUGCUUCCUAAAUCUGUGCAGCUGUGGAGUUUCUUCAGGUGCCGCUCCCUGGCACCAGGUGGGUGCCAGCAGUCCUGUAACUAAAAUCAUCACAAUUUUCAGCUAGCAUUAACCAUUUCCUUCGAAUGAAGGCGGAAUCCUGAGCUCUGCCCCUGCUCCCCAUGAUACAAGAGCUUUGUCCAGUGAUGCUUUACGUGGUGUGCCCCACAACUCUUUGCAUGCAUUCUAAACCCCUCUCUUUGAGGGAAGAAAAGGUCUCUAUUUUAUCCCUGUUCUUGGCUCCAUAGGACUCCAGAGCAAUCUGCCCAUUUCCAGUUAAGUCCACC